This 2800-nucleotide long non-coding RNA is filed under the name Stylophora pistillata. RNAcentral describes it as "uncharacterized LOC111329507". The record is from RNAcentral. Lineage: Eukaryota; Metazoa; Cnidaria; Anthozoa; Scleractinia; Pocilloporidae.
GUUUUAUUGACCACCGCCUUUUUUCAAAACUACAGGCGUGCAAUGACAAAGGUUUCUAUACUGAUUUCCCGGGCAACUGUGUGAAACAAAGCAGGAGCGUGGUUGAGAUGUUUUCAAUGGAGGACUGGGUUACAAUUGCGAAUUUCCGCACGUAUCAGUUGGAGAGAGGGUUGUACCGCUGUUCCUCUUCUCUCGUACAUCGUUAUCUCGGUAAAUGGAGUAUGUAGCAAUAGAAAAGGUUUAUUCCAAGUAACACAGCGGUCAAACGUCGCGCAUGCGCGAGGGGACCAGUUCCGACCUGCCGCGUAAAAUUCAAAGGAAAAAAACACUAGAAACAACCAUUGUCUCGCAGAGUAGGCGAAAGAAAAUUGAGACGCUCAUGAAAAUAAGUAAAGGGAAAGAAAAGCAGGAAAAGGAAAACUCGAGACUCUUCGAACACAAAGCUUUUUCAAGUACGAGUAUCUUGUUGAUUUACCAUUCUGUUUUGAGCUCUAACAAAAAAAAGCUAUACGCUUUUAAAACAUUAUGACGUAUAAGCUUGUGUGGUUUCGGCGGUGGAUCUAGGGGAGGGACCGGGGGUUUGCCCCCCUUCUUUUGGGUUAAAAAAAUAAACGCAGAAAGAAGAAAAUCCUUCAGAUGUACACACACAAAAUACCUUUCCCCCCCCCCUUCCACCCUUAGCUCAAGGUCUCGACCGCCAUUGAGGUUUUUGUAACUCGUGUUCCAUGUAAGUUCCCUUUUGGCAGCCUGAAAGCUUGUCACCCAGUCUUUACGACAUGAACAUAUGUUCAGACGUUUGACCGUUGUGUUUCCCUUGACACGCCCCUAAAAAGGUUGAUAACAUUUAUCCUGCGAAGCGUGAAAUUAUCUUCAGUGUGACCAAAUGAAGAGGAGAGGACUGUGACGGAAGCUCUUGGUCCAGGCUUCGGGACAUGUCAACUCUUCCAAAGUUUCUUUUUUUAUAGCUAUUCUCUCGAAUUGGAGAGUCCCUGUGAAGAGUAACCUUGGAAAAGGCUCACGAGCCGCUGACGAUGCUAUAUCGAUACUGAUAAUCUCAUCACACUUUAGGCACAAGCUAACACCUUGCCAGUCUUUCCUAAGAAAUUUUUCAAUUAUUUUUAUGAUAAGUUCAGUGCUAAUUCUUUAUCACAAGAAAUUGCUUUAAUAUGUUUUAUGAUAACCUCUGUGCCAAUUUGUUUUCGUAAUAAUCUUAUCUCUUUUAUGAGUUAAGAGUAUUUUUUUUACACUAAUUUUCUAAGUAGGUAAAUAAUCAAGGCGGCUCAUUGUAGGGAAUCUUGCAUUCUGUUUUAAGCUGUCAUCAAACUGAUUAAAUUGGCUUAUUCAAUGUAAUUAAUGUGGAAUUUGUAUUAAAGAUUAAAGUUUGUGAAGUGCAACUGAUUGGACAGACGGCAAAAUGAAAUAUGUUUGUUGUAUACAAUGAAAGGGACAAUAAAUUAAAUUAACUUAAUAAAGUAUUAUUAUUACUAACAGUUUCUUAUGGUUUCAGUUUCUUUGGGUCCGUGUUGAAGUUCUAGUCAAGUUAAUUCUAAAGAGAAUUCAAUAUAAGGCAGCACGCAUAAUUCAUAAUUUGUCAAAGGAUAUAGCUUCUGUUGCCCUCAGAUGUGUUAAGUAGCCUACACUUUGUUCAGUUGUAAGGUCCUAACCACACUGAAGCGCUUUCAGUCGUAAGACUGCUGCAUUUCCAUUUGAUGCGUUUUCGUCCUCCGUCUACACUGGAACACCCAAAAAUGCAAGUGAAAGUAACAGUAUAUGACUCAUUUUUGGUCAAUUUUUUCAAUCUCAUAGCUUUCAAAUUAUCACGUGGCAAUACAGAUCAUGAUUUUGAUGACAGAAGGGUGCGAAAUAGGUUGUCAUCAGUGGCUUAACUGAGGGUUCACGAAUCACCUUAGGAGAAGGCUAGCAUUUAGUGCUCACGUGGUUAUGCUUUGCUUUCACCCUUUCCCCCUGUGACAUGAAAAGGGGCUAAAUUUUCUAUUAGCCUAGGGUCAGGACUUUGUUCCCGCAUGUUUUCCUGUUCACUUAUAACUUUCUGAAACAUUCGCGGUCCCAUAACUAUUCCACUGGUGAGGUGUUCGUUUUCACAUCUCUCUUCGGCAGAAUUUCUUGUCGCUGAUUUCAGUUGUUCAUAUCGAUAUUUACUACAGCUCUUCUUCGCAGUCAAAAGGUGUUGCCGUUGUAAUCUGUGCUUUUCUUUCAAUUCCAGGGCCAACUUGAAAAUCUGGGAUUUAAAGUCCGCAAACAUUUGUCUUAUCUCUGUAGACAGCAGGUAUACUUGUGUGUUGUCUGGAAUGCAAAGGAAAGAACGAAAUAUGUUUUAAACCCGGCAGAGUACGACCGUAACCAUUGGUAUCUAAAACUCCCGUCAAAGCUCUUCUUGUACCUAAUAUCCACACACAUGGAACAUUCGUUCUGUCGCCCUCGUCACAGCCAGAUAGUGGGAUGACUGGUUUUGUUAAUCAGUACUGUGGGCGGAUCCAGGAGAUUUUGAUAGGAGGGGAUCCAAACUUUGAAUCAGAAAACAUAUAUAUAUAUUUUUUUUUUUUUCGCUAAGUAAGCUAAGAAAUAUUUCGCGAAGAGUAAAUUUUAAAUACUUUAAGUUAAAUUUCAAAUACCUCAUGUUAAAUUACAAAUACUUCAAGUUUAUCAGUAUUUUGUUCUUGUCAUUGCAAGAAUUGUGUAGUCUGACGUGUAACAAAAUAGCCCACAAGUUUGAAAGAGGCCAGAGAAAUGUGCCAGGGUAAUUAUUGCCUGGUGAAAGUUGCAAGAUGGUUAGUUACCU